UGGACCCAAUUGUGAUAUGACCAAAGCC
RNAcentral lists this non-coding RNA (28 nucleotides) under Rattus norvegicus (Norway rat). The record is from RNAcentral. Lineage: Eukaryota; Metazoa; Chordata; Mammalia; Rodentia; Muridae.